UGAAGUAAGUAAGGGCGUACGGUGAAUGCCUUGGUGCCAACAGGCGAAGAAGGACGCGGCAAGCUGCGAAAAGCCUCGGGAAGCUGCAAGCAAGCGAUGAUCCGGGGAUAUCCGAAUGGGGUAACCUGAUCGAGGCAAUACUCGAUCGUUCAUACCUGAAUACAUAGGGUAUGAAACGCGAAACCCGCUGAAGUGAAACAUCUCAGUAAGCGGAGGAAAAGAAAGAGAAAUCGAUUCCGUAAGUAGUGGCGAGCGAAAGCGGAUGGAGCCCAAACCGAAGGUAUUCCUUCGGGGUUGUAGGACCACGUCAUAUUCGACCAUACUGGAUAGUAGAACAGCCUGGAAAGGCUGGCCGGAGAAGGUGAAAGCCCUGUAGACGAAAUCCAGAGUGGGAAUUAGUGGUAUCCUGAGUAAUACAUCACACGUGGAACGAUGUAUGAACCCGCGCGGACCACCGCGCAAGGCUAAAUACUAGUUGGCGACCGAUAGUGAACAAGUACCGCGAGGGAAAGGUGAAAAGAACCGCUGUGAGCGGAGUGAAAUAGAACCUGAAACCGUAUGUCUACAAAGUGUCAGAGCAGAGCAAUCUGCGAUGGCGUGCCUUUUGUUUAAUGAGUCUGCGAGUCAGUGUUUGUGGCAAGACUAAGGGCUUCCGGCCCGGAGUCGCAGCGAAAGCAAGUCCGAACAGGGCGCAAUAAGUCGCAGGUACUGGACCCGAAGCGGAGGUGACCUACCCUUGGCCAGGUUGAAGCAUGGGUAAAACCAUGUGGAGGACCGAACAGGUGAACGUUGAAAAGUUCUCUGAUGAGCUGAGGGUAGGAGUGAAAGGCUAAUCAAACCCCGUGAUAGCUGGUUCUCUUCGAAAUGCAUUUAGGUGCAGCGUCACGUGCUGAUGCGCGGGGGUAGAGCACUGACAAGGCUAGGGGGCACACCCGCUUACCAAACCUUAUCAAACUCCGAAUACCGUGCAAUGGAACGUGGCAGUGAGACAGUGGGGGAUAAGCUUCAUUGUCGAGAGGGAAACAACCCAGAUCAGCAGCUAAGGUGCCUAAAUAACGCUCAGUGGAAAGGAUGUGGGAUUACACAGACAGUGAGGAUGUUGGCUUAGAAGCAGCCACCAUUUAAAAAAUGCGUAAUAGCUUACUCAUCGAGUGAUCCUGCGCCGAAAAUGAUUGGCGAUCAAGCGUUAUACCGAAGCUCUGGACUUUGCCGCAAGGCAGAGUGGUAGAAGAGCGUUGCAUGCGCGUCGAAGGGCGAUGGCGACUGACCCUGGAGCACAUGCAAGUGAGUAUGCAGACAUGAGUAACGUUAAGCCGGGUGAAAUCCCCGGCCGCCGUAAACCCGAGGUUUCCAGGGCAACGUGUUUCGUCCCUGGGUUAGCCGGGACCUAAGCCGAGGCCGAGAGGCGUAGGCGAUGGACAUCAGGUUAAUAAUCCUGAGCUCGCAACCCUUAAACUGGGGGGACGCAUGAGAAAAGAUGACUAGGUUAUUGAAUUCCGAGUUGAGUCCACGGACUCAGCGCAUCAUUGGAUCGAGUGCCAAGAAAAGCCCCAGCGUAUGCUAAGCGACCCGUACCGCAAACCGACACAGGUGGGUGGGUAGAAUAUACCAAGGCGUAAGAGUGAAACCUGGUUAAGGAACUCGGCAAAUUAGCCCCGUAACUUCGGAAGAAGGGGUGCCUGCAGCGAUGCAGGCCGCAGAGAAAUGGCCCAACCGACUGUUUAUCAAAAACACAGCACUCUGCAAAGACGCAAGUCGAAGUAUAGGGUGUGACACGUGACCAAUGCCGAAAGAUUAAGGCAAGGGGUUAGCCGCAAGGCGAAGCUCUAAACCCAAGUCCCGGUGAAUGUCGGCCGUAACUAUAACGGUCCUAAGGUAGCGAAAUUCCUUGUCGGG
Molecule: ribosomal RNA, 1896 nt
Filed under: mouse gut metagenome
Description: bacterial LSU rRNA
Rfam family: Bacterial large subunit ribosomal RNA
Source: RNAcentral